RNAcentral lists this ribosomal RNA (629 nucleotides) under uncultured fungus. Its description in RNAcentral is "eukaryotic LSU rRNA". It matches the Rfam family "Eukaryotic large subunit ribosomal RNA", at positions 23 to 673 of the family's 3401-position model. Lineage: Eukaryota; Fungi. The record is from RNAcentral.
ACCCGCUGAACUUAAGCAUAUCCAUUAGCGGAGGAAAAGAAACCAACAGGGAUUGCCUCAGUAACGGCGAGUGAAGCGGCAACAGCUCAAAUUUGAAAUCUGGCCUCACGGUCCGAGUUGUAAUUUGUAGAGGAUGCUUUUGGCGAGGUGCUUUCCGAGUUCCCUGGAACGGGACGCCAUAGAGGGUGAGAGCCCCGUACGGCAAGACCACCGAGCCUCUGUAAAGCUCCUUCGACGAGUCGAGUAGUUUGGGAAUGCUGCUCUAAAUGGGAGGUGUACGUCUUCUAAAGCUAAAUACCGGCCAGAGACCGAUAGCGCACAAGUAGAGUGAUCGGAAGAUGAAAAGCACUUUGAAAAGAGGGUUAAAAAGUACGUGAAAUUGUUGAAAGGGAAGCAUUCAUGACCAGACUUGGGCUUGGUUGAACAUCCGGCAUUCUCGCCGGUGCACUCUGCCAGUCCAGGCCAGCAUCAGUUUGCCCCGGGGGACAAAGGCAGUGGGAAUGUGGCUCUCUUCGGGGAGUGUUAUAGCCCGCCGUGUAAUGCCCCUGGGGUGGACUGAGGAACGCGCUUCGGCACGGAUGCUGGCGUAAUGGUCAUCAAUGACCCGUCUUGAAACACGGACCAAGGAG